GGCUUCUUAAUGUUUCUUGUUAAAAAUGUCUGAUCUUACGAACUCUGUAGUGAUUUUAGUGCUUUACUGAGAUAAACU
This 78-nucleotide small nucleolar RNA is filed under the name Leptosomus discolor (cuckoo roller). RNAcentral describes it as "Small nucleolar RNA SNORD72". It matches the Rfam family "Small nucleolar RNA SNORD72". Rfam says of the family: snoRNA HBII-240 belongs to the CD family of snoRNAs. It is the human orthologue of the mouse MBII-240 and is predicted to guide 2'O-ribose methylation of the large 28S rRNA at residue U4590. The record is from Rfam by way of RNAcentral. Lineage: Eukaryota; Metazoa; Chordata; Aves; Leptosomiformes; Leptosomidae.